RNAcentral lists this non-coding RNA (21 nucleotides) under Caenorhabditis elegans. Lineage: Eukaryota; Metazoa; Nematoda; Chromadorea; Rhabditida; Rhabditidae. The record is from RNAcentral.
UUAUCGUGUUAUUGUGAUAUU